Molecule: ribosomal RNA, 351 nt
Filed under: Babesia occultans
Lineage: Eukaryota; Apicomplexa; Aconoidasida; Piroplasmida; Babesiidae
Description: SSU rRNA
Rfam family: Eukaryotic small subunit ribosomal RNA
Source: RNAcentral
AUACAGGGCUACUGUCUUGUAAUUGGAAUGAUGGUGACUUAAACCCUCACCAGAGUACCAAUUGGAGGGCAAGUCUGGUGCCAGCAGCCGCGGUAAUUCCAGCUCCAAUAGCGUAUAUUAAACUUGUUGCAGUUAAAAAGCUCGUAGUUGAAUUUCAGCGUUUCGCGUGUGCCUCUUUUGGCCCAUCUCGUUUCGCUUUUUUUAUUACUUUGAGAAAAUUAGAGUGUUUCAAGCAGGCUUUUGUCUUGAAUACUUGAGCAUGGAAUAAUAGAGUAGGACCUUGGUUCUAUUUUGUUGGUUUUGUUACCUUGGUAAUGGUUAAUAGGAACGGUUGGGGGCAUUCGUAUUUAA